CUGAUAAAAGGAAGACUUAAACUUCCCUUGAUGAGUUUACAACUCACCGCCUAGACCCUCGGCCAUUUUACCU
This 73-nucleotide transfer RNA is filed under the name Stenocercus imitator. Its description in RNAcentral is "tRNA-Tyr". The record is from RNAcentral. Lineage: Eukaryota; Metazoa; Chordata; Lepidosauria; Squamata; Tropiduridae.